This 503-nucleotide ribosomal RNA is filed under the name uncultured bacterium. RNAcentral's name for it is "bacterial SSU rRNA". It matches the Rfam family "Bacterial small subunit ribosomal RNA", at positions 344 to 847 of the family's 1533-position model. The record is from RNAcentral.
GGAGGCAGCAGUGAGGAAUAUUGGUCAAUGGACGAGAGUCUGAACCAGCCAAGUAGCGUGAAGGAUGACUGCCCUAUGGGUUGUAAACUUCUUUUAUAUGGGAAUAAAACAGGGUAUGCAUACCCUCUUGUAUGUACCAUAUGAAUAAGGAUCGGCUAACUCCGUGCCAGCAGCCGCGGUAAUACGGAGGAUCCGAGCGUUAUCCGGAUUUAUUGGGUUUAAAGGGAGCGUAGGUGGAUUGUUAAGUCAGUUGUGAAAGUUUGCGGCUCAACCGUAAAAUUGCAGUUGAAACUGGCAGUCUUGAGUACAGUAGAGGUGGGCGGAAUUCGUGGUGUAGCGGUGAAAUGCUUAGAUAUCACGAAGAACUCCGAUUGCGAAGGCAGCUCACUAGACUGCAACUGACACUGAUGCUCGAAAGUGUGGGUAUCAAACAGGAUUAGAUACCCUGGUAGUCCACACAGUAAACGAUGAAUACUCGCUGUUUGCGAUAUACAGUAAGCGGC